This 373-nucleotide ribosomal RNA is filed under the name uncultured bacterium. RNAcentral describes it as "bacterial SSU rRNA". It matches the Rfam family "Bacterial small subunit ribosomal RNA", at positions 523 to 898 of the family's 1533-position model. The record is from RNAcentral.
AUACGAAGGUCCCAAGCGUUAUCCGGAUUUAUUGGGUUUAAAGGGUGCGUAGGCGGGCUAUUAAGUCAGUGGUGAAAGCUCUCAGCUUAACUGGGAAACUGCCAUUGAUACUGAUAGUCUUGAGUAUGAUUGAAGUGGGCGGAAUGUGUCAUGUAGCGGUGAAAUGCUUAGAUAUGACACAGAACACCGAUUGCGAAGGCAGCUCACUAAGCCAUAACUGACGCUGAUGCACGAAAGCGUGGGGAGCAAACAGGAUUAGAUACCCUGGUAGUCCACGCCCUAAACGAUGAUCACUCGAUGUGUGCGAUAAACUGUACGCGUCCAAGCGAAAGCAUUAAGUGAUCCACCUGGGGAGUACGACCGCAAGGUUGAA